RNAcentral lists this unclassified non-coding RNA (202 nucleotides) under Hevea brasiliensis (rubber tree). The record is from RNAcentral. Lineage: Eukaryota; Viridiplantae; Streptophyta; Magnoliopsida; Malpighiales; Euphorbiaceae.
UCCAAAUGUCCUCCCAUGAACUUCUGUCAUGGUAGUUUUGGAGAAAACAGCGAGACGAAGAGCCCAAAUAUCGACGAAGCCAAACCAUACCGAUGCAAGCCGAAGUGUACCCACUAGCAUUAACCACCAUCCUAACAGCUCCAUCUCUUUAAUUUUUCUCUCCACACACUUUCUUCUCUCCUUCGCCCCGGUUCCUAUUUUG